Non-coding RNA from Misgurnus anguillicaudatus (oriental weatherfish), 2644 nucleotides. The record is from RefSeq and is a predicted model, not a curated record. NCBI's taxonomy places the organism in Eukaryota, Metazoa, Chordata, Actinopteri, Cypriniformes, Cobitidae.
AGCUAAGACCAGCUACAAAGUGAACAUACACACCUUAGAGAGAGCAUAGGUCACACAGAGUACAAAAAUAUUUUACUAUUACGUAAAAUAAUGUAAGUUGUCUUAUAUAUUGAUCUUUGAUAUUAUUGUAGGUUUUGUUGUGGGUUCAGGGCAUCUUGAAGUACACUAUGAAUGACGUCAGAUAGAUCUAUUGCGAGUGACAACAUUUGAAUUAUCUGGCACGAGGAGUCACACGUCAUACUUCAACUGACACAACGGAGACGGUGGUAAAAGAGGUUAAAACUCCUUUAAAUUUCGAAUUUUUUUAUACUAAAUCCCAUUUAUUUUGUAGUUAAUUGUUGGAUAAGGUCGUAAUUUCGUCAAGUUUUCGUUACAGGGUAAGAUUUCUUUACCAUAUACAGUAUUUAUAUUGGUUCAAGUGUGCAGUUUGAUAAGGUUUGUAUUUCCUUUGUAUAGGAAAUUUGUUAGCCAUAUUUAAGUUAGUACAUUUUGGUAUCGUAUGUAAGCUUCGCUUUAGUUCAAUGUUAGAGUAAAUGUAUAAGGUUUUAUAUUAAUAUUCAUCCGCAGCGGGUAAGUGCGCGAGCUCAUACGGCCGUUACUCAAGCGGAAGGCUGCAGCCUCUGGAGGUCGCGUGUCUUAUUUCAGAAUAUUAACAAGUAUAAAUUUGACUAUUAUUCUUAGUUAAUCGUAAAUUGUUGUAAUAUGCUUAUGACUUGCGAAUGUAAUGCUCAGUUAACUUAAUAAACCAGGCUUGGUGACGUAUACAGCCUGCCUAUGCGACCUCCGGAGGAUGCAGCCUUCCGUUUGAGAAACGGCCUACAUGUGUACCGAGGGCGAGCGUGCACGAAAUUCUGUCUGAAUUGAUUCUUCAAUAAUGGCAAAGCAAACAUUUUCUGUCGUGAUGAUUAAACACAUUUUAAAGUUUAAAUUAAAACUCCUACCUUUCCAGGGGUUUCUGUUCCUGCAGUCUUCCAGCGACACUUCAGUCGUGUGUGUACUUGCUUGCCGCGUAUGACCAUACGGACACGAACAAUAUACCGCCACCUACUGUACUGUAGUAAAAUGACGUGUAUGAUUGAAUACGGUGGCACAGGCAGUAAAAAUAGCCCUGUAAGUCAUUGUAAAAAUUGGCUAAAUCACCAAAAUAAGUUUGUAGAUGUGGUUCAUUAAUUUUUCAUAACUAUGCAGCAUAAUGAAUCAGCCUGAAUUUAUUUAGCCUAUAAAAAUAUAUUUUUUAACUUUAUUUUUAAACCUUUAUAUGCUUUUAUAUGGUAUAUGGUUAAACCCUUAUAUGGUAGCAGUUUAAUUGAAUAAAAAUCUUAAAUUGAAUCAAAUCUCUUGUAAUAAUAAAAAAGCUCUUAAUUAUCUGCGAGGAUUGGGGGUACAUCUGGGUAACAUUUUAACAUUUAAGCAGCUUCCUUUUUAUAUUAUUUUACAUAAUUUGAUGUGUAUAUAUAUUAACUUAUCUUUAUUUAGUUUUCUCAGCCUUUAAACAUCUGACUGAUAAAUGUGUAGUGUACUACAAAAAGGUAAGUUCAGCACCAGAUCCGCUUAUGUUAUACUGUAAUGACCUCUGUGUAUGACAUGUGCUAUACAAAUAAACUUGCCUUGCCUUGUAAGAUUGAUACUGGUUUGAGAAAAACUAAGAUUUAAACAACCAAAUGUUUCCAGUGCAACAUGAAAAAACAUUGAAAAACAAUUUUCAGCCUAAGGUUAGACAAUGUAGCCAAUGGUCCUCUAUAAAUUUUGGUACAAUGGUACAUUUCCUUUGUGUACUGCAAGCUGAACUUACCGAUUUAUAUGGACUUUACUUACAAGUUUUCUGUGCUAUGUUGCUCCAUUUCACGGAGCAAAAUAAGUCUGAGGUAGCACCAUCCUUGUGGUUUGAGUUGAACAAUGGGGGUAUUGAGACCAAAAUGAACAAUGUGCCACUCUAGACAGCUGUGGACAAAAUAUGCAUUCAGAGUAUUUUCUCAAACAGAGAGAGAAUUCCAGGCCAAAAGGACUCAACAGAGACAACAUUAUGAGGAGCAACCAGUACAUCAAAGCAAAAAGAUGCUAUGAUAUUGUCUGAGGCACCUUAUUUUCCAUGUCCUUCACAAUCACAACUGCAGCACACCAGUCAAUUUCUGCCAUUCAGAAGAAUCAGAAAGAAAUCUUGGAUUGGAAAAUCAUUCUGAAAGUAGACUAAAUUCAGGACAACAUCACAGCAGUGGUCGGAAAAACAUCAGUCAAUGAGCAAGCCAAGCUAACUUUCAAAAGAUGAUUUGUUAUCUGUCUUCAGAGGGACGGCAGCUUGGAGGAUGCUACAGCUACACAGGGAGAAUUUCAGCAGCUCAGUUUCAUACUUGCAACUAAUAAUGAAUAAUAGUUAGAAGACAGCGGAAAGAAUUGACAUCGCAGAGACACACACCAAGAGACACGCACACACACGCAGCUGAAGCGAGUUUGACUGACGCCCAUGGGAGAUCGGGCACCGUGCACGCACGCACAAACAUGGAGCACAGCAUAAUUACAACUGUUGGAUUAAAAUAAAAGUACUUUGUGGUAUACAAUGUUUCUCGUGUCUGUUUUCAUUGGUUAGCAGGGAAAUAAAAUGACUUGCUGAGGACUUUAGGCGAACGUCCCCUAAAAGUCCCAAAAG